AGCAGUAGCCGCGGUAAAACGUAGGUGGCGAGCGUUGUCCGGAAUUAUUGGGCGUAAAGGGAGCGCAGGCGGACAUAUAAGUCCAUCUUAAAAGUGCGGGGCUCAACCCCGUGAGGGGAUGGAAACUGUAUGCCUUGAGUGCAGGAGAGGAAAGCGGAAUUCCCAGUGUAGCGGUGAAAUGCGUAGAUAAUGGGAGGAACACCAGUGGCGAAGGCGGCUUUCUGGACUGUAACUGACGCUGAGGCUCGAAAGCCAGGGGAGCGAACGGGAUUAGAUACCCGUGUAGUCCCUGUCUCUUAUACA
Molecule: ribosomal RNA, 303 nt
Filed under: uncultured bacterium
Lineage: Bacteria
Description: partial 16S ribosomal RNA
Rfam family: Bacterial small subunit ribosomal RNA
Source: RNAcentral